This 826-nucleotide ribosomal RNA is filed under the name uncultured Ascomycota. RNAcentral's name for it is "eukaryotic LSU rRNA". The stretch from base 329 to 482 matches the Rfam family "5.8S ribosomal RNA". The record is from RNAcentral. Lineage: Eukaryota; Fungi; Ascomycota.
CUUGGUCAUUUAGAGGAAGUAAAAGUCAUAACAAGGUUUCCGUAGGUGAACCUGCGGAAGGAUCAUUAACACGUAUCCACGUAUCAACCCCUCUGUGCAAACCCUAACUUCGAAAGGUUUGGUCUUAGUGUGUCGUUCGCAUGGGUCCUAAUGAUGGAGCGAGGAUCUUCGGAUCUUCGCUAGGGCUCGAACGACGUGUGUUUGACGAUCAACCGCCACUUUCCCAUCGUUGACCCCUCUUUUUAAACCCCUUGUACUUCUUUGUACUGAACCAAUUCUUCUGACGCUCUUAACUGAGUGACGGAUAGAUAUUACGAAACUUAAGAACAACUCUUAGCAACGGAUAUCUUGGUUCCCGCAACGAUGAAGAACGCGGCGAAAUGCGAUACGUAAUGCGAAUUGCAGAAUUCAGUGAAUCAUCAAAUCUUUGAACGCAAAUUGCACUCUCGGGUAUACCCGGGAGUACGCUUCUUUCAGUAUCGGUUCUAUCUAAACUCGCCUGCGUUUUGAUUUAUCAGAACGAUAUGGCGGAAAUUGAGUGUCUCAUCUUCUCGGGUGUGUUACUUGAAGGAUAGAAACGGUAGUUCCCGUUUUUCUUUCGAGAAAAGCUCGUUGUUUUUCCCUUCUCACGAAGGGCUGAAACAAACUGAGUGACAUGGUUAAGUUCGCCUUGUGCGACACCACUAUGUCAACCCAUCUCAGAUUGGUUCAGUAACAAUUGAGUGUGGAACAACUCUGCCGUUCUUUGGAUUAUCCAAUUAACAAAAUCAGAUCUGAAAUGAAGUGAGAGGACCCGCUGAACUUAAGCAUAUCAAUAAGCGGAGGA